UACGGGAGGCAGCAGUGGGGAAUAUUGGACAAUGGGCGAAAGCCUGAUCCAGCCAUGCCGCAUGAGUGAAGAAGGCCUUCGGGUUUGUAAAGCUCUUUUAGUGAGAAAGAUAAUGACGGUACUCACAGAAGAAGUCCUGGCUAACUCCGUGCCAGCAGCCGCGGUAAUACGGAGAGGGCUAGCGUUAUUCGGAAUUAUUGGGCGUAAAGAGCGCGUAGGCUGAUUAGUAAGUUAAAAGUGAAAUCCCAAAGCUUAACUUUGGAAUUGCUUUUUAAAACUGCUAGUCUAGAGAUUUGAAAGAGGAUAGAGGAAUUCCUAGUGUAGAGGUGAAAUUCGUAAAUAUUAGGAGGAACACCAGUGGCGAAGGCGUCUAUCUGGCUCAAAUCUGACGCUGAGGCGCGAAGGCGUGGGGAGCAAACAGGGAUUAGAUACC
Molecule: ribosomal RNA, 433 nt
Filed under: uncultured bacterium
Lineage: Bacteria
Description: bacterial SSU rRNA
Rfam family: Bacterial small subunit ribosomal RNA
Source: RNAcentral